RNAcentral lists this non-coding RNA (26 nucleotides) under Homo sapiens (human). The record is from RNAcentral. Lineage: Eukaryota; Metazoa; Chordata; Mammalia; Primates; Hominidae.
UGAGAGCCUACCUGGAGGGCACGUGC